RNAcentral lists this ribosomal RNA (450 nucleotides) under uncultured bacterium. RNAcentral's name for it is "bacterial SSU rRNA". It matches the Rfam family "Bacterial small subunit ribosomal RNA", at positions 354 to 796 of the family's 1533-position model. The record is from RNAcentral.
GUAGGGAAUCUUCCGCAAUGGACGAAAGUCUGACGGAGCAACGCCGCGUGAGUGAUGAAGGCUUUCGGGUCGUAAAACUCUGUUGUUAGGGAAGAACAAGUACAAGAGUAACUGCUUGUACCUUGACGGUACCUAACCAGAAAGCCACGGCUAACUACGUGCCAGCAGCCGCGGUAAUACGUAGGUGGCAAGCGUUAUCCGGAAUUAUUGGGCGUAAAGCGCGCGCAGGCGGUUUCUUAAGUCUGAUGUGAAAGCCCACGGCUCAACCGUGGAGGGUCAUUGGAAACUGGGGAACUUGAGUGCAGAAGAGAAAAGCGGAAUUCCACGUGUAGCGGUGAAAUGCGUAGAGAUGUGGAGGAACACCAGUGGCGAAGGCGGCUUUUUGGUCUGUAACUGACGCUGAGGCGCGAAAGCGUGGGGAGCAAACAGGAUUAGAAACCCUAGUAGUCC